RNAcentral lists this ribosomal RNA (253 nucleotides) under uncultured bacterium. RNAcentral describes it as "partial 16S ribosomal RNA". It matches the Rfam family "Bacterial small subunit ribosomal RNA", at positions 524 to 776 of the family's 1533-position model. The record is from RNAcentral.
UACGAAGGGGGCUAGCGUUGCUCGGAAUCACUGGGCGUAAAGGGUGCGUAGGCGGGUCUUUAAGUCAGGGGUGAAAUCCUGGAGCUCAACUCCAGAACUGCCUUUGAUACUGAAGAUCUUGAGUUCGGGAGAGGUGAGUGGAACUGCGAGUGUAGAGGUGAAAUUCGUAGAUAUUCGCAAGAACACCAGUGGCGAAGGCGGCUCUCUGGGACGGUACUGACGCUGAGACGCGAAAGCGUGGGGAGCGAACAGG